Molecule: ribosomal RNA, 589 nt
Filed under: Microbacterium sp. Ri3Pt_4349
Lineage: Bacteria; Bacillati; Actinomycetota; Actinomycetes; Micrococcales; Microbacteriaceae
Description: bacterial SSU rRNA
Rfam family: Bacterial small subunit ribosomal RNA
Source: RNAcentral
GGUUGUAAACCUCUUUUAGCAGGGAAGAAGCGAAAGUGACGGUACCUGCAGAAAAAGCGCCGGCUAACUACGUGCCAGCAGCCGCGGUAAUACGUAGGGCGCAAGCGUUAUCCGGAAUUAUUGGGCGUAAAGAGCUCGUAGGCGGUUUGUCGCGUCUGCUGUGAAAUCCCGAGGCUCAACUUCGGGUCUGCAGUGGGUACGGGCAGACUAGAGUGCGGUAGGGGAGAUUGGAAAUCCUGGUGUAGCGGUGGAAUGCGCAGAUAUCAGGAGGAACACCGAUGGCGAAGGCAGAACUCUGGGCCGUAACUGACGCUGAGGAGCGAAAGGGUGGGGAGCAAACAGGCAUAGAUACCCUGGUAGUCCACCCCGUAAACGUUGGGAACUAGUUGUGGGGUCCAUUCCACGGAUUCCGUGACGCAGCUAACGCAUUAAGUUCCCCGCCUGGGGAGUACGGCCGCAAGGCUAAAACUCAAAGGAAUUGACGGGGACCCGCACAAGCGGCGGAGCAACGCGGAUUAAUUCGAUGCAACGCGAAGAACCUUACCAACGCUUGACAUAUAUGAGAACGCUGCAGAAAUGUAGAACUCUU